AUUGAACGCUGGCGGCAGGCUUAACACAUGCAAGUCGAGCGAGCGGCGGACGGGUGAGUACUGUCUGGGAAACUGCCUGAUGGAGGGGGAUCACUACUGGAAACAGUAGCUAAUACCGCCUACCCUCAGUUGUGCCCAGAUGGGAUUAGCUCGUAGGUGGGGUAAUGGCUCACCUAGGCGACGAGCCCUAGCUGGUCUGAGAGGAUGACCAGCCACACUGGAACUGAGACACGGUCCAGACUCCUACGGGAGGCAGCAGUGGGGAAUAGUGGACAAUGGGGGAAAGCCGGAUGCAGCCAUGCAGCGUGUGUGAAGAAGGCCUUCGGGUUGUAAAGCACUUUUAGCGGGGAGGCGUUACUCGCAGAAGAAGCACAGGCUAACUCCGUGCCAGCCGCCGCGGUAAUUC
RNAcentral lists this ribosomal RNA (406 nucleotides) under uncultured bacterium. Its description in RNAcentral is "partial 16S ribosomal RNA". It matches the Rfam family "Bacterial small subunit ribosomal RNA", at positions 30 to 526 of the family's 1533-position model. The record is from RNAcentral.